AGAGCUCGUAGGCGGUUUGUCGCGUCUGUCGUGAAAGUCCGGGGCUUAACCCCGGAUCUGCGGUGGGCACGGGCAGACUAGAGUGCAGUAGGGGAGACUGGAAUUCCUGGUGUAGCGGUGGAAUGCGCAGAUAUCAGGAGGAACACCGAUGGCGAAGGCAGGUCUCUGGGCUGUAACUGACGCUGAGGAGCGAAAGCAUGGGGAGCGAACAGGAUUAGAUACCCUGGUAGUCCAUGCCGUAGACGUUGGGCACUAGGUGUGGGGACCAUUCCACGGUUUCCGCGCCGCAGCUAACGCAUUAGGUGCCCCGCCUGGGGAGUACGGCCGCAAGGCUAAAACCUCAGAGGAAUUGACGGGGGCCCGCACAAAGCGGCGAGAGCAUGCGGAUUAAUUCGAUGCAACGCGAAGAACCUUUACCACAGGCUUGACAUGUUCUCGAUCGCCGUAGAGAUACGGUUUCCCCUUUGGGGCGGGAUCACAGGUGGUGCAUGGUUGUCGUCAGCUCGUGUCGUGAGAUGUUGGGUUAAGUCCCGCAACGAGCGCAACCCUCGUUCCAUGUUGCCAGCACGUAAUGGUGGGGACUCAUGGGAGACUGUCCGGGGUCAACUNCGGAGGAAGGUGGGGACGACGUCAAAUCAUCAUGCCCCUUAUGUCUUGGGCUUCACGCAUGCUACAAUGGCCGGUACAAUGGGUUGCGAUACUGUGAGGUGGAGCUAAUCCCAAAAAGCCGGUCUCAGUUCGGAUUGGGGUCUGCAACUCGACCCCAUGAAGUCGGAGU
RNAcentral lists this ribosomal RNA (778 nucleotides) under uncultured Micrococcus sp. RNAcentral describes it as "bacterial SSU rRNA". It matches the Rfam family "Bacterial small subunit ribosomal RNA", at positions 564 to 1332 of the family's 1533-position model. Lineage: Bacteria; Bacillati; Actinomycetota; Actinomycetes; Micrococcales; Micrococcaceae. The record is from RNAcentral.